RNAcentral lists this long non-coding RNA (487 nucleotides) under Selaginella moellendorffii. RNAcentral's name for it is "long non-coding RNA (SMOE_LNC002031)". The record is from RNAcentral. Lineage: Eukaryota; Viridiplantae; Streptophyta; Lycopodiopsida; Selaginellales; Selaginellaceae.
UUGAAAUUUCAAAUUGCUUCACUAUGGCAAGAAAUAUGUGUCUUUACUACCAAUUAAAAUCUAUUUUUUAAAAAAAAUUAUAUUAUAUCACUUUGAACAUGAGAAUCUUACUAAUGUUUAUAGGAAGGUGCCAAUGCUUAGCCAACAUGCUAGAAGGUGUGAAACCCAGAUGGGGAUCUGAGAAUUAUAAUUUCUUCAAUUCACAAAGGCCAAAACAGUUCCAGGGAAUUUGUGACCUUGCCUUUAGUGAUGUUUGCCACUGCUGCCGCUGUGUGGAAGCUUGACUCUGUGAUCUUGUGACUGGGGCUCUUCGUGGUGAUGCCCGUGCCGAAACGCUGCUGCAGUGACAGCAUUAUGAUCCAGGCAAGCUAAUGCGAGCACGAAAAGGACAAAGAGGUGCCGAAGCAAACUCGCAAGUGCCAUUCUUGAACUGCGAAUUGCUGAGCCUAGGUUGUGGAUUAUAUAGAGAAACAUCGUCUAUAGUCAC